GACGUAGGGCGCGAGCGUUGUCCGGAUUUAUUGGGCGUAAAGAGCUCGUAGGCGGCUUGUCGCGUCGUUCGUGAAAACCCACGGCUCAACUGUGGGCUUGCGGUCGAUACGGGCAGGCUGGAGUUCGGUAGGGGAGACUGGAAUUCCUGGUGUAGCGGUGAAAUGCGCAGAUAUCAGGAGGAACACCGGUGGCGAAGGCGGAUCUCUGGGCCAUUACUGACGCUGAGGAGCGAAAGCGUGGGGAGCGAACAGG
This 253-nucleotide ribosomal RNA is filed under the name uncultured bacterium. Its description in RNAcentral is "partial 16S ribosomal RNA". It matches the Rfam family "Bacterial small subunit ribosomal RNA", at positions 524 to 776 of the family's 1533-position model. The record is from RNAcentral.